GCCUCCGUGGCCCAAUCGGCUAGCGCGUUCGGCUGUUAACCGAAAUUUAGACCCAACCGGGGGCG
Molecule: non-coding RNA, 65 nt
Organism: Trichonephila clavipes
Lineage: Eukaryota; Metazoa; Arthropoda; Arachnida; Araneae; Nephilidae
Source: the annotation of a GenBank genome assembly